CCCAACUAUCCCUAUUAAUCAUUACGGUGAUCCUAGAAACCAACGAAAUAGGACGGACUGAUUCUAUUUCGUUAUUCCAUGCUAAUGUAUUCAGACGAUAGUCUGCUUUAAACACUCUAAUUUUUUCAAAGUAACAGUCCUGAUUUCCCAUCACACCAAAUGAAUGGCAUGAAAGUUCCUCAGAAGGUAGAGAUCCAUCUCACCAGUGCAGACAAUUAAGCCUGACCAAUGGGUAGACCCCGAGGUUCAACUACGAGCUUUUUAACUGCAACAACUUUAAUAUACGCUAUUGGAGCUGGAAUUACCGCGGCUGCUGGCACCAGACUUGCCCUCCAA
This 336-nucleotide unclassified non-coding RNA is filed under the name uncultured Diversisporaceae. RNAcentral describes it as "sequence contains 18S rRNA gene". Lineage: Eukaryota; Fungi; Glomeromycota; Glomeromycetes; Diversisporales. The record is from RNAcentral.